CUUUCCCACACCACUUGGCAGCCUGCAGACUGGUCUUCAUCCAAGUGCCAAAGGAGAACCCACAGUGCAAGCCAGGAAGACCAUGACAAUCAUCUGUGCUCUUCUCUCUGUGCCUAACAUUGUCAUCUCCCAUAUGCACCACUGGCCCACCUUUGAGAAAGAAUUCAAACUCCACUUCCUGGCCAGGCUGGUCUCGAACUCCUGACCUCAAACCCCACUUUCUUCAUGAGGCUUGCUAUGACCCCACCACACCCACCAGGCCAGACCACCAUCACCUCUCACUGGACCCUGCUACGACCACCUCCCUGAUCUUUCUGCCCUUGGGCUCGCUCCAUGGAGCCCCUUCUCCACACAGCAGCAGCCAGAGGCAGUUUCUGGAGCCCACAGCUGAAUGCGUUGUUCUCCUUGCUCAGGCAGAGAAGAGGACAGAUGGGGUUUUGGUCUCCUGUGUGUAGCCAGAGGGACUGCCUUGUCCUUCGCCAUCUCCAGUAGUUCCUGAGACCACAGCUGCUGAUGGCAAAUGCCCCCAGUCCCAGCCAUGCCCCAGCCCCCUGCAUUGAGAGACCCAGCUCCACCCAGAGGGCAGCUGCAGCCUCCUUCAUCCACAGCCACUGCUGUGACCAAGAGGGACAUUGUCCUGGAAGGCCAGUGGAGCCUUUCUGAGGCCUUCACAGGCCCAAUGUCCACCCUGGUCAUGACACGUAUAAUAACACAGCUCUUGCAUUAAAUACUAUUUACUGCAGCAGAAUUUUUUUUUAAGUUUGUUAUAAUUUUGAAUUUUGUGAAGAGUAAAUUAUUCAUUUUGUUUUUUAACUUGAAUUUAUUCAUUAUACCUAAGUAAGAAUUGAUCUGGGCUAUGCUUGGCUAGUUGGUAUAAUACCACAUCUGUAGACAUUUAAUUAAACAUGUAUUAAUUUUAA
Homo sapiens (human) is the source of this 920-nucleotide long non-coding RNA. RefSeq lists it as uncharacterized. The record is from RefSeq and is a predicted model, not a curated record. The transcript has 3 exons. Lineage: Eukaryota; Metazoa; Chordata; Mammalia; Primates; Hominidae.